RNAcentral lists this ribosomal RNA (408 nucleotides) under uncultured bacterium. RNAcentral's name for it is "partial 16S ribosomal RNA". It matches the Rfam family "Bacterial small subunit ribosomal RNA", at positions 28 to 526 of the family's 1533-position model. The record is from RNAcentral.
GACGAACGCUGGCGGCGUGCUUAACACAUGCAAGUCGAACGAAGUGGCGGACGGGUGAGUAACGCGUAAUCAACCUGCCCUUCAGAGGGGGACAACAGUUGGAAACGACUGCUAAUCCCGCAUACUGAAGGAGGGGAUUGCGUCUGAUUAGCUAGUGGGAGGGGUAACGGCCCACCAAGGCGAUGAUCAGUAGCCGGUCUGAGAGGAUGAACGGCCACAUGGGGACUGGGAAACGGCCCAGACUCCUACGGGAGGAAGCAGUGGGGAAUCUUCCGCAAUGGACGAAAGUCUGACGGAGCAACGCCGCGUGAGUGAUGACGGCCUUCGGGUUGUAAAGCUCUGUUAAUCGGGACGCGGUACCGGAAUAGAAAGCCACGGCUAACUACGUGCCAGCAGCCGCGGUAAUUC